GAUGAACGCUGGCGGCGUGCCUAAUACAUGCAAGUCGAGCGAACAGACGAGGAGCUUGCUCCUCUGACGUUAGCGGCGGACGGGUGAGUAACACGUGGAUAACCUACCUAUAAGACUGGGAUAACUUCGGGAAACCGGAGCUAAUACCGGAUAAUAUAUUGAACCGCAUGGUUCAAUAGUGAAAGACGGUUUUGCUGUCACUUAUAGAUGGAUCCGCGCCGCAUUAGCUAGUUGGUAAGGUAACGGCUUACCAAGGCAACGAUGCGUAGCCGACCUGAGAGGGUGAUCGGCCACACUGGAACUGAGACACGGUCCAGACUCCUACGGGGGGCAGCAGUAGGGAAUCUUCCGCAAUAGGCGAAAGCCUGACGGAGCAACGCCGCGUGAGUGAUGAAGGUCUUCGGAUCGUAAAACUCUGUUAUUAGGGAAGAACAAAUGUGUAAGUAACUAUGCACGUCUUGACGGUACCUAAUCAGAAAGCCACGGCUAACUACGUG
RNAcentral lists this ribosomal RNA (497 nucleotides) under uncultured bacterium. Its description in RNAcentral is "partial 16S ribosomal RNA". It matches the Rfam family "Bacterial small subunit ribosomal RNA", at positions 28 to 507 of the family's 1533-position model. The record is from RNAcentral.